This 333-nucleotide ribosomal RNA is filed under the name Triticum aestivum (bread wheat). Its description in RNAcentral is "partial small subunit ribosomal RNA". The record is from RNAcentral. Lineage: Eukaryota; Viridiplantae; Streptophyta; Magnoliopsida; Poales; Poaceae.
AUGCCACUAAUGGCAGCUGAGGUGGCCCCUUCACGGCGACUAAUGGAGGUUGCGAGGCUUCAUGAUCUAUACGUACAUGCAAAACUAGGUGCGGAGCAGCCGCUGCCACUAUAUCCACCUCCACCAUACCUCCUCCAUCCACCUUCCAUCUUGCCACUCCGCCGUCCGCGCCACACGAAUGAUAGCAGUGGCGGCGAUGAGCUCGAGGUUGCUGUCUGCCCUCCGUCCACACCCUCACAAGAACGCAGACCGGGGCAACACACAGAUGUUUUCUCGGCGCGCGGUGCCAUGGCUGCACUCUCCGUUCAAGCGUCGUGGCCUUUCCCUCGGUAG